UCUAGGGUUUAUUUCGUUUAAUUUUCUCGUUCCUUCAAAAGGCGAAAUGUUUCAAUCUUCCGAUGGUCUAAAAUAGUGAUUUAGUCGAGAGCGUUUGAGAAAUUUGGAAGGUGUCCCUGAAUCUGCAGAUGCAGAUAGAUUUAAAAUGAUUGUAAAAGAGGCUAAAGAAAUGGGGGUUUGAUCCCUUCAAAAUUACAUUUCUUGUAGCUAUAAAAUUGGAUUGGCAUCAAUUAACAAAGCCGAUUGGAGAAGUAAGAUGGAUGUUUACAAGAGAUGGGGUUGAUCUGUGGAUCAAUUUCAAUCAGUAUUUAGGAGAAAUCCUGUUCUAUUGUGGCUUCUGAGAAGAAGAGGAUUAUGGGGGUUAUAAUUUCCUGUAAAUUCAAUGAGUUAUGAUUUAUCAAGUAUCGCCGGAACUCCAAUAGUCAUUACCUGUAGCAAGCAUUAAAGGAGAGAUGAGGAUUUUGGUCUUCAAGUGUCUGAUUUGAGCAAGACGUUGUGUUUCAAGGUCGGCUGAAUUACCAAGAGCUGCUUCAAGUGGAUGAUUUCUUGAGUUGUUUACAAAGGAUAGUCCUUGGAAACAGAGUAUAAUUAGCUGAUUUUGUAUCAUGGAUUGGUACUGGGAAUGAGAGGUUAAAUUAUCUUAUUGCUGGAGAUUCAGAAGGUGAUUAUGUGAUUGAGGAGAUUCUUCUCAUCCUCGCAGUUAUUCAUAGAACAAGGUUAAGCUGGGACAGUAAGAAGAGCAUCUUCUAAGACAAUAUAUGUGUUUAUGUGCAGAAUGGAAGAAGAAUCUGUGAAUCAUCUUUUCCGCAUUUUCAGAUUUCAAGGGAAUUUUAGUCCUCUCAUACUUCAAAUUAGGGAUGGGCACAGGGCUUUUGCGCACAGUAUGAUUGAUAUGGUCUGGUUCUGGGCAUCUUUUGGUUUAUCAGCGAAAGGGAAGAUAGUAUGGAAUUUCAUUCCAUCAGCUGCAAUUUGGGUGCUGUGGAAUCAAUGAAACAAGAGAAUUUUUGAGGAUAAAUAAGCGUUCAAAACAAAUUCGGACUUGGGCCCUUGCCACUAGUUCUAACCUACAUAUUAACUCUUCUAGUUCAGUUCUAGAUUGGCCAUCAGUAUUCAUGGCACUUUCUUGCAGUUUGCUCUUUAUAGCUACUACUUGUAGGUGCUUGUAAUUUUUUUUAAUGGAAUCUUCUCUUCUGAUUUAAAAAAAAAGAAAGGUUAAGCUGGGAUUGCCCGUGUGGUUCCAUGAAGCUGUGAUAGGAAACACACUCGCACUAUCUGAGUUUACGCGGAUGGUUUCUCAAUUUACUUUGCUACUUUGCGAAAGAUAAAUUGAAGGUGAAGCCAAUGCUUUGAUUAUUUAUUGAUUUUUUUCAGGUCUUAUUUGGACACUCAUUUAUGCGCAUUGUUGAUUGUAUAUGCAGCAAUGUGCAUUCUGUUCUUUAACUUUUGGGGUGUAAUUAGCAACUUGCCUCGUGUUAGGGCAAACAUAUAUACU
Papaver somniferum (opium poppy) is the source of this 1492-nucleotide long non-coding RNA. RefSeq lists it as uncharacterized. The transcript has 3 exons. Lineage: Eukaryota; Viridiplantae; Streptophyta; Magnoliopsida; Ranunculales; Papaveraceae. The record is from RefSeq and is a predicted model, not a curated record.